This 253-nucleotide ribosomal RNA is filed under the name uncultured bacterium. Its description in RNAcentral is "partial 16S ribosomal RNA". It matches the Rfam family "Bacterial small subunit ribosomal RNA", at positions 524 to 776 of the family's 1533-position model. The record is from RNAcentral.
UACGAAGGGUGCUAGCGUUGCUCGGAAUUACUGGGCGUAAAGCGCACGUAGGCGGCUUCUUAAGUCAGGGGUGAAAUCCUGGAGCUCAACUCCAGAACUGCCUCUGAUACUGAGGAGCUCGAGUCCGGGAGAGGUGAGUGGAACUCCGAGUGUAGAGGUGAAAUUCGUAGAUAUUCGGAAGAACACCAGUGGCGAAGGCGGCUCACUGGCCCGGUACUGACGCUGAGGAGCGAAAGCGUGGGGAGAAAACAGG